Molecule: ribosomal RNA, 245 nt
Filed under: uncultured bacterium
Lineage: Bacteria
Description: partial 16S ribosomal RNA
Rfam family: Bacterial small subunit ribosomal RNA
Source: RNAcentral
UACGUAGGUGGCGAGCGUUGUCCGGAAUUACUGGGCGUAAAGGAUGCGUAGGCGGAAACUUAAGUCAGAUGUGAAAUACCCGGGCUUAACUUGGGUGCUGCAUUUGAAACUGAGUUUCUAGAGUGCGGGAGAGGAAAGUGGAAUUCCUAGUGUAGCGGUGAAAUGCGUAGAGAUUAGGAAGAACACCAGUGGCGAAGGCGACUUUCUGGACCGUAACUGACGCUGAGGCAUGAAAGCGUGGGUAG